UGCAUUUGAACUUUUAUUUUAUUUUUAUUUAUUUUACUUUGUUAAAAUCCUAGUUUUUAAUCACUUUUUCAAAUCAAAAUAUUUUUCUUCAGCAAAGUGUUUUUACAAUUGCAUUUAUAAAUAAUUCUUUUCAUAGUCCCUGUGGGUAUGAUAACUCGACAUUUACUUGUCACUUUAUUACUUGUUGCAAUUGUGUACACUUGCACAUUUCCGUCGUUCCAAGUUUUUGGCGCUGUUGC
RNAcentral lists this long non-coding RNA (239 nucleotides) under Gossypium barbadense (sea-island cotton). Its description in RNAcentral is "long non-coding RNA (GBAR_LNC000461)". The record is from RNAcentral. Lineage: Eukaryota; Viridiplantae; Streptophyta; Magnoliopsida; Malvales; Malvaceae.